UAAUGUGCGUCGGACGGGGAGGGUCUGCGAGAGACGGGAGCGAGGGGAAGGUAGGAGCAGAAGGGGCGGCGGCGGGUCUAGGCCGCAGGGACCGGGGCCGCCGGGCGUCGAGCGCCGUCCGGCGGGCCAGCCAGAGAGGAGUGAUAGCUCCGAGCCGGGCCGGGGCGACCCGUCGAGGAGGGGCUGCGGGAGGACGUCCUUCGUUUCGGGAGGCUGCAGAGUUGUCAACAGGUGAGCACGUUUGAUCGUCAAAGAAAAUGGUGGUCUUUCCUUUUCCCUCUGUGCCUAGUGCUACCGCAACGCCGUCCGCGACCCUACCAGUCUGCCCCUCCACUACGCCGGCCUCAGGUUCGGGACGAGGGCGGACUACGCAGUGUGGCGCCCGUAGAAGAGACACCCACCGCGGGAGCGAAGGACCCAAGAGACAGCGGAAGUGAUACCAGGCUCCUAUUGCCAGGGCUCCUCGCACUCCACCCGCAGGACACCUCGCUAGACGCACUCGAGCCGCAGCCGGAGCGACCACGCCGAGAACUCGGGCCUCACGCUCGGCGUCUUGUAUCGCCGAAUGCUGUCCGGGCUUGUGUUCGGACGUAUCACCAUGUACAUAGAACCUCCGCUCCAAGAACUACUAGAUAGGGUCCUCUACCUCUGUGUAAAUAGACGGUAACAGCACACUCUCUCCAAGUAAAUGCGUAUUGGAUCGACGGGUCCUCAAGUUAUUACACAGUAAAAAGGACUGGCAACGACGUCUCAAAAAAGAAGAAGACUUUCACGGCAUAAGUCAUUGAGACCAGAGUUCGUCUCACGAGCGAGAACGAGACAACCUUCACUAAAGAGUUGAGGUGUCAGAUUGACUUUCUCUUUGGAUCAACCCGUUUCCGUCAGACCGCGGUGGCGGAUGACCGGCUGGCUGCAAGCAACGCCGCCGUGUCGUCGCAGCCUCAAUCACCGUAACUGCGCGCUUCUUCCCCGUGCUAGCUCCUUUUGCCCACCGAGCGACGACAAAACGAGUAAUGAUGACAUGAGCACUACCUAGCUGAGGUAGUGGAUGAUCGAGCAACAGCCACAAUUACGUACCGUUGGCGACUAAUUACUCAUACGAGAAGUUAAUUAGGGACGGCAUGUACGACCAGAUCAUCCCGUGAGGCGUUUACUAAGAAGAGGGGUGACAAGAC
This 1175-nucleotide ribosomal RNA is filed under the name Triticum aestivum (bread wheat). RNAcentral describes it as "partial small subunit ribosomal RNA". The record is from RNAcentral. Lineage: Eukaryota; Viridiplantae; Streptophyta; Magnoliopsida; Poales; Poaceae.